AUCUCUAGAAUAAUGAAUGAAUCCAAUCCAUUAUAAAUUGUAUUAAAUAUGCCAAAUAAGAUCAGCAUUUGUUUCUUAACAUGGAAACAAUGACCACGGAUGCUCCUGUAUAGCAGAUGAUGUGAACCAAAGCGUGGUCGCCAUGGGAAAUCCGAUGGCGCCAUAAUUAUGAUUCUUCACUUUAAAUGAAGACACCCCAAUGGUACUGAGUUUUGUUGACUACCGUCGCUUUGGUAGAUGGGAAGUUAAGGACACUUGGGGUCUUGACCGAGGACCAGACCCAAUGUGGGAAUACCAGAGCUUCAGAGAAAAUGUCAUGACUCAUCUCAACCUUGCUGCCUUCAAUAAACCUAUAUGUGAAGCAAUGCUGAAUCAAAAAUAUUUUAAUGGUAUUGGAAACUACUUAAGAGCUGAGAUUCUUUACAGACAAGUCAGUCCGGAAAGGGGACGUGAUUGCUGCCCGUAUCAUCAUUGGG
Molecule: long non-coding RNA, 476 nt
Organism: Homarus americanus (American lobster)
Lineage: Eukaryota; Metazoa; Arthropoda; Malacostraca; Decapoda; Nephropidae
Exons: 3
Source: RefSeq, a predicted model, not a curated record